AUCCCUGGCUCAGGACGAACGCUGGCGGCGUGCCUAAUACAUGCAAGUCGAGCGGAUCUUGUCCUUCGGGACAAGGUUAGCGGCGGACGGGUGAGUAACACGUGGGUAACCUGCCUGUAAGACUGGGAUAACAUUCGGAAACGAAUGCUAAUACCGGAUACGCAGCUUGGUCGCAUGACCGAGCUGGGAAAGAUGGAGCAAUCUAUCACUUAUAGAUGGACCCGCGGCGCAUUAGCUAGUUGGUGAGGUAACGGCUCACCAAGGCGACGAUGCGUAGCCGACCUGAGAGGGUGAUCGGCCACACUGGGACUGAGACACGGCCCAGACUCCUACGGGAGGCAGCAGUAGGGAAUCUUCCGCAAUGGACGAAAGUCUGACGGAGCAACGCCGCGUGAGUGAUGAAGGUUUUCGGAUCGUAAAGCUCUGUUGCCAGGGAAGAAUGCUUGGGAGAGUAACUGCUCCCAAGGUGACGGUACCUGAGAAGAAAGCCCCGGCUAACUA
RNAcentral lists this ribosomal RNA (501 nucleotides) under Paenibacillaceae bacterium CL1.106. RNAcentral describes it as "bacterial SSU rRNA". It matches the Rfam family "Bacterial small subunit ribosomal RNA", at positions 15 to 503 of the family's 1533-position model. Lineage: Bacteria; Bacillati; Bacillota; Bacilli; Caryophanales; Paenibacillaceae. The record is from RNAcentral.